RNAcentral lists this small nuclear RNA (107 nucleotides) under Heterocephalus glaber (naked mole-rat). The record is from RNAcentral. Lineage: Eukaryota; Metazoa; Chordata; Mammalia; Rodentia; Bathyergidae.
GUGCUCACUUUGACAGCACAUAUACUAAAAUUGGAAUAAUACAGAGAAGGUUAGCAUGGCCCUUGUGCAAAGAUGGCACACACAUUUUUGAAGUCUUCAAUAUUUUU